RNAcentral lists this ribosomal RNA (468 nucleotides) under uncultured Pseudomonadota bacterium. RNAcentral describes it as "bacterial SSU rRNA". It matches the Rfam family "Bacterial small subunit ribosomal RNA", at positions 35 to 465 of the family's 1533-position model. Lineage: Bacteria; Pseudomonadati; Pseudomonadota. The record is from RNAcentral.
GCUGGCGGCGUGGAUUAGGCAUGCAAGUCGAACGCGAAAGGGACUAGAACGAUUCUUCGGAAAAGGGAAGGUCCCCGGUAGAGUGGCGAACGGGUGAGUAGCGCGUGGGCAACCUACCCUAAAGUUGGGGAUAACACUCCUAACGGGGUGCUAAUACCGAAUGUGGCCACGAGUACACAAGUGCACGUGAUUAAAGGCAGCCUCUGCUUGCAAGCUGUCGCUUUAGGAUGGGCCCGCGUCCCAUUAGCUUGAUGGUGAGGUAACGGCUCACCAUGGCUCUGAUGGGUAGCUGGUCUGAGAGGAUGGUCAGCCACACUGGGAUUGAGAUACGGCCCAGACUCCUUCGGGAGGCAGCAGUCGAGAGGCUUUGGCAAUGGGGGAAACCCUGACCAAGCGACGCCGCGUGGGUGAUGAAGGCCUUCGGGUUGUAAAGCCCUGUCAUAGGGGAAGAAAAGCGACGGUGUUAAU